GACGAACGCUGGCGGCGUGCUUAACACAUGCAAGUCGAACGAUGAAGCCCUGCUUGCUGGGUGGAUUAGUGGCGAGCGGGUGAGUAACACGUGGGCAACCUGCCCCAAACUCUGGGAUAACUCCUCGAAAGAGGUGCUAAUACCGGAUACGAACUAGACAGACAUCUGUACUAGUUGGAAAGUUUUUCGGUUUGGGAUGGGCCCGCGGCCUAUCAGCUUGUUGGUGAGGUAACGGCUCACCAAGGCUACGACGGGUAACCGGCCUGAGAGGGGGACCGGUCACACUGGGACUGAGACACGGCCCAGACUCCUACGGGAGGCAGCAGUGGGGAAUAUUGCGCAAUGGGCGAAAGCCUGACGCAGCGACGCCGCGUGAGGGAUGAAGGUCUUCGGAUCGUAAACCUCUUUCAGUAGGGACGAAGCGAAAGUGACGGUACCUAAAGAAGAAGCACCGGCUAACUACGUGCCAGCCGCCGCGGUAA
Molecule: ribosomal RNA, 482 nt
Filed under: uncultured bacterium
Lineage: Bacteria
Description: partial 16S ribosomal RNA
Rfam family: Bacterial small subunit ribosomal RNA
Source: RNAcentral